AUUGAACGCUGGCGGCAUGCCUUACACAUGCAAGUCGAACGGUAACAGGUCUUCGGCUGCUGACGCGUGGCGAACGGGUGAGUAAUACAUCGGAACGUGCCCGAUCGUGGGGGAUAACGCGGCGAAAGCUUUGCUCAUACCGCAUACGAUCUACGGAUGAAAGCGGGGGAUCUUCGGACCUCGCGCGGACGGAGCGGCCGAUGGCAGAUUAGGUAGUUGGUGGGAUAAAAGCUUACCAAGCCGACGAUCUGUAGCUGGUCUGAGAGGAUGAUCAGCCACACUGGGACUGAGACACGGCCCAGACUCCUACGGGAGGCAGCAGUGGGGAAUUUUGGACAAUGGGCGAAAGCCUGAUCCAGCCAUGCCGCGUGCAGGAUGAAGGCCUUUGGGUUGUAAACUGCUUUUGUACGGAACGAAAAGCCUCUUGCUAAUAAAGAGGGGUCAUGACGGUACCGUAAGAAUAAGCACCGGCUAACUACGUG
RNAcentral lists this ribosomal RNA (482 nucleotides) under uncultured bacterium. Its description in RNAcentral is "partial 16S ribosomal RNA". It matches the Rfam family "Bacterial small subunit ribosomal RNA", at positions 30 to 507 of the family's 1533-position model. The record is from RNAcentral.